CGCAUUUUAAAAAACACCUAGGAAUAAAUCUGAGUGAGGAGGUGAAAGACAUAUGCUAUAAAACAUUGACAAAGGAAACUGAAGAUGAUUCAAAGAAAUGGAAAGAUAUCCCAUGCUCUCAGAUUAGAAAAAUUACUUAUUUAUCGUGUGUGACUUGCCCAUUCAAACAAUGAUUCCCUUCACUAAAGUCUUAGGAGAUGCAUGGGUGUGUGGAGCAUCUAUAUCUUUGAAAUACAUUUUGGUAACUGUUCUCUAUAGACAGGGAUGCUCACUGGAGAUCUUACAGUGGAGAGGGAUUCUCUGAUUUCAGUGGGGAUGGGAGGAUCCUAGGGUGUUAGAGUUCAAGUGUGACUCUUCACCUCCAGAUGCAAGUUGGAGGUUACUGUCUGGUCCGUGCCACACAGAGCGUGGCUGUGCUUGAUUGGUUCUGAGGUCCUUGGGGCUGACGAUGGGAAGCCCACCCCCAUCCUCCUCGACUUGUAGCACAAGGAGAUUCCUGACCUCUCACUCGGUUCCCAGAUCUGAAUCAGUUCAGAGGCCUGGCAUCCCUUGAAAGGGAAAUCUGAAUACACUUGAGUAAAGGAUUCUUCCAAAAUAUUCAACCGUGGGAUGUGAACUUACUCCUAGAUUUCCCCAAAGCACCCUUCAGCCGUUUACCUGGAAACUCUUCACUAGGGAAAGACAAAUACCCAUGUAUCUUCCAGAUUACUGGUGUCUAUUGCCUCUGUGAAACUUCUGGAGGUCUAAUAUUUGAGGGAACAUCAGCAUAUCCCAGGAAUGACGACAUCUUAUACCUCACCCUGUUGAACCACCACAAUCACAGCUAAUAGCUUCCCCUGGAGGAUCCCAUCAAAGCCAAGGACCAGAGGGAGGAAGAACGGCAGCAGAUGCGAGCUGAAGCCUAGGUCUGUCUGGUGGAGCCCAGGAGGAAGUCGUGCGGGAGGCGGGGUCCUGAAAGGGUCAGAAUAGAUACAUCGAAGGAUGGAGGGAGUCUCAGUACCAAUUACAAGCCAUGGCUUUACAAGCAGUGCCUUCAGCCUGGAAUUUGAGAUGACUGCAAGAAGAAGAUUUUCUUUCUUCCCACCACCCCCUUCUUCUUUUUACCUCCCAGAACUUAGCUGUGUUACAAGAAUAAUGAGUCCUGUUCCUAACACACCUUUGCCACGGUCCUCCAUGGCCCCCUGGGUGGUAGCCAUCCGAUGUUUUAGCUGCUAAGAAGAUUAGUCAGUGACAUCGCCAGAGCCUGUCCUUCGGUGGUGGGUAGUCUGUCCUGCUGCAGAACAGGGCUUGGCAAGGAGAGAGGCCUGUCUCUAGGGCCCCAGAAGGGUCAGCUCUUCAGCCAGGCCAACCUGCUGGUUUGGGGCCUCCUGCGGAAAGCUGGAGCUGCAUUUGGGCCUCGUGGGGAGGCUGCAGGUUUCAUGGCCAAAUACCUGCCCUGGUGUCCACCAAGUCUCUGCAGACUCUGCCAAAGCCCUGGACUUGGCCACGGAUGAGGGAAACACCACAGAGGAGGAGAUGGCCAUGGAGACCCAAAGUCCCUCCGCGCUUCUAGAGGGCAUGGUGUGGAGGCCCCAGGGGACCCGGGUUUGAUCCCUGGUCUGGGAAGAUUCCACAUGCUGCAGAGCAACCAAGCCCCAGUGUGUCAACUACUGAAGCCCACAUGCCCUGGAGCCCAUCCUCUGCAACAAGAGAAGCCACCGCAAUGAGAAGCCCACAUCCCGAAAUUAGAGAGUAGCCCCCACUUGCCACAACUAGAGAAAGCCCAUGCAACAACAAAGACCCAGCAUAGCCAUA
Molecule: long non-coding RNA, 1794 nt
Organism: Bos taurus (domestic cattle)
Lineage: Eukaryota; Metazoa; Chordata; Mammalia; Artiodactyla; Bovidae
Source: Ensembl